Molecule: ribosomal RNA, 918 nt
Filed under: uncultured Alphaproteobacteria bacterium
Lineage: Bacteria; Pseudomonadati; Pseudomonadota; Alphaproteobacteria
Description: bacterial SSU rRNA
Rfam family: Bacterial small subunit ribosomal RNA
Source: RNAcentral
CGAAUAAGAAGUCCGGCUAACUUCGUGCCAGCAGCCCGCGGUAAUACGAAGGGACCUAGCGUAGUUCGGAAUUACUGGGCUUAAAGAGCACGUAGGUGGUUAAGAAAGUUGGUGGUGAAAUCCCAAGGCUUAACUUUGGAACUGCCACCAAAACUUUUUAACUAGAGUAUGAUUGAGGUAAGCGGAAUUUCUAGUGUAGAGAUGAAAUUCGUAGAUAUUAGAAAGAACACCAAUUGCGAAGGCAGCUUUCUGGAUCAUUACUGACACUGAGGUGCGAAAGCAUGGGUAGCGAAGAGGAUUAGAUACCCUCGUAGUCCAUGCCGUAAACGAUGUGUGCUAGACGUUGGGAAUUUAUUUUUCAGUGUCGCAGCAAAAGCGUUAAGCACACCGCCUGGGGAGUACGACCGCAAGGUUAAAACUCAAAUGAAUUGACGGGGACCCGCACAAGUAGUGGAGCAUGUGGUUUAAUUCGAAGAUACGCGCAGAACCUUACCAACACUUGACAUGUUCGUCGCGACUCUAAGAGAUUAGAGUUUUCGGUUCGGCCGGACGAAACACAGGUGCUGCAUGGCUGUCGUCAGCUCGUGUCGUGAGAUGUUGGGUUAAGUCCCGCAACGAGCGCAACCCUUACUUUUAGUUGCUACCAUUUAGUUGGGCACUCUAGAAGAACUGCCGGUGAUAAGCUGGAGGAAGGUGGGGAUGACGUCAAGUCCUCAUGGCCCUUAUGUGUUGGGCUACACACGUGCUACAAUGGUAUUUACAGUGGGAUGCAAAGAGGCAACUCCAAGCCAACCCUCAAAGAAUACCUCAGUUCGGAUUGUACUCUGCAACUCGAGUACAUGAAGCUGGAAUUACUAGUAAUCGCGGAUCAGCGCGCCGCGGUGAAUACGUUCCCGGGUCUUGCACACACCGCCCGUC